AAAAAACACUUGAGUUGAUCCUAUUUGCUACUGCAGUUCCGAAAAAAGAAAAGAAAAAAAGACAUGAAACCCUUAUAUUGAUCACCAUUUAAAUAUAUAUCUGCAAAAUUAAAAUGUGGCCUAAAACUAGACAUGAAUCUCUACCAAGAUACAAUUCCUUCCCCCACCUAUUAAAACCCUAAAUAAAUUUGUCUAGCUUCCAUUGCUUCUUUGAACCUUGAGGCCGAAAGUUCUCAAGCCGCAUAGUAGAGCUUCUGCAAAUCUCCGAAACUGCAGAAUCACCUUGCUCGACCUUUAUCAUCUCCAAUGUGCUCCCAAGAACUUCAGCAGCAAGCCCUAUUUCCACAAGCCGUCCUUCCUCUUCUCCGCCUUUGUAUAUCAAACUCCCUAUUUCAUUGAACGGUAUCACAUUUUCCGAUAUUACCUUCCCAAAGAUGCGACCAAGAAAUUCGGCUGCUCUAGGGGCAUCAUUUACUGCAUCCUCCAAGCUAGUCAGAACAUUUUCAAACCCUUUAAUUAACUGAUCUUGACUUAUUGCCACGUCUCGAGAAAGAGUUAGACCAAUUAUAAGCUUUGCCAAAAGAUCCCUUUCCAUAUCCUUCCUCUCGAAGGAGUCAGUAACCCAAAGUGAGAUCAUUGAUGGAUAGAAGCCAGGUGAAUUCAGGUCUUUCACACACAAAGCAACCUCUUUCUCAUCUUUCGCACUGUAGAAUUCCUUGAUAGCAGCCAUAGACAUUUCCAGCAGACGUUCUUCUGGCCAGAUCCUGUCAGGAGCCACAUUUUGUGUGGAAGUCGCCCCUCCACUUCUUACAAGUGGAGAAGGAGGCCGAGAUGUGUCAAAUCCACGCUCCUUGUUCCCAUAUGUCACGUUCCUUUCUGGUGCACUUGAUUGAUCAUGUUGACUAGAUAAUCGCUCAGGCAUGUAUUUGGGCGCAAGCUCCUCUCUUAAACCAUAAAGGGGGCGCUCUGACAAAGAACCAUAGCCACUUUGGGCAUGUACCAUCCUUCGAGAGUCUCCAAAACUUGACAUAUUAUCAAUGCUUGGUCCAGCAGGUUGGCCCCUGGAAGACAUUCCCUUUGCAAGACCACCUUGGGGUCCAAGUGUGAUCGGAUCAUCACCAAGAGGCCUCUGGGUCAGGGGAAGUGAUAAUGUCCUAUUCUCGAAAGAAUGCCUCUCAUCCACCCGUACGUCCUGCAUGCCAUAGCCACGGACCUGUGGAGACAUAGGACGGAAACCCCCCAUCUGGGAGCCCGGAGAAGACAACAUACCCCCUCCUCUGGGAACAAAAUCCAUAGGUUGACCCCUUCUACUAGAACCUCCCAGACUAGGAGUACGAGCAAGCCUAGUAGCUUGUGCAUGUCGUUCUUGGGCAGCAUCCCUAUGCACUUCCUCGAUCUUCUUAGGCCCUUCAACUUUUCUCCUUUGCUGCCAUUUGUUCUUUCUUAGAUCAAUUGAAUCCUUCAACAUGAACCUCACCCUAGAAGAAAGUUUCAUGUUAUUUGACAACUUCUCCAACAUAUCAAAGUAUGCAUCCAUAUGUUCCUUUGCUUUGGCAUGAUCUAUCAUCUCCCCAAUUGUACUCAUCAACUUACACAAAGCUUCAACAUUCUCCUCGUCGGGAUUUUGAUAGUCACCUAACAACUUCUUGAUGCACUCGUGCAUAAUUCUCUCUGUCAACAUUUUCUUCUUAUAAAGUUCACCGAUCAGUCUUAUAUUGCCCAACAUUCGUCUCCGUGCUUUCACUCUUUUCUCCUCCCUCUCCUCUGCUGACAGUUUUACCUCACCUUCCUCGUUAGUUACAUUGGCUUCUAGUUCUUCUCUUUCCCCUCUCUCAAACUCUUCCUGACAUUUGUUUAGAAGUAACCUCUUAAAAGUGAUUUUUUCAUUGUCUACACUCAGAUCAGGCAACUCGGCUGCUAGGUGUUGACAAAAAUUGGCAUACAUCUCACAAAAAGUUGGCUCCAUCAAAGCUUUGUCAAAUAUCUGAGAAAUUACACCUUUGAGUGUGACAUAAUUGUCAAUAUUAACUUCUUUCACUUGCUGGAAUAAUUUGUCAAAGUUCUGGGGAGUAAGCUUAUUUAAGAUAGCUUUCAGCUGUCUCUGCUUGGCUUGUUCCUCAUCUGUUACUUUACCUACUUCAUACUUUACUUCAGCUUUGUGCAUAUUCUGUGCAGGUGUGUGAGGAGACGGCAUUAAACCCUUUUGGAAAGCAGUUCCACGCUGCCACCUGUCAGCAUCAACUCCAUUUCUCAGGCCUCCUCCCUGAGGUGGACCCAUGGAUUGCAUUGGUCCAGAUAGUAUUCCCCCAGUGGCUAACUGACCCAUGGCAUACUGACCCACAGCAUACUGACCCAUGGCAUAUUGAAUGGGCAUUGCACCUCGCGGGUGCCGCAGAACACCAGAAUUGCCUCCUGGGCCAGGUCGGAACCCCACACCAUUUCCCCCAAAGCCAAUGUCUGGCUGAAAAUCUCGACCAGGCAUAGGAGGCCCAGGCAUCUUAUUCCACUUGUCUCCAUCCCCAACGCCACUUCCGCGACGUUCACGAUGUCCGCUGGACGGCCUAUCAGUACCUCUUCCUGGACUAGGGAAUGGCUCACGCAUAGCACUGGCAUUGAAGUUAAUUAGAAUAUCCGCAACAUCAGGAGCAACAUUAAAACCCUCAGGAAUAUCAAUGCAUUGCUCUGCAAAUUUAAGCAAGAAGUCUCUUGAAUAUUUCUUGGUAGUCACACCAUCACCAUCUUCACCAUCAACCUUUCUAUGUUCAGGAGCAAUUUCUAGUUUAGGAGUAGAUACAUCUGCAGCAUCCUCCCAAUCAUCUGGCUCUGCUUUAACCUCACCAACCUUCUUAGUUGAUCUAAGAUCUUCCUGAUGCACAUUGGCAGAUGGAGGCAUAGAGUCAUCUUUAGAAGUGAGUUCAAUGGUUUCGAUUGAUUGACUAAGUUCAUCCUUCUUCUCUGGACCUUUGUACGCCAUAUAAAGAUCAGAAGUCGCACCAGCAGCAUCUGCCUUCUUAUAUAAGUCUUUUUUCUUCUUUUUACCCCUAGACAUAGUGACCUUAGGCACAUUGGAAUCCACCAAAGAUUUCUCCUUGACGCCAGAUGACGACUUGGAAACUAAACCGGCGUUACUAGUUUCAGUAUUUUCAUCUUCACUCUUUGAAGUGGCCUCAUCAGAACUCUUCAACAAAUCAGAGGCGAACUCCUGACUUGCGUCAACCGACUUUGUAACAGGAGCUUCUUCGGGGUCCGCAAUAUCUGAUUCCUGAUCAUCUUGAGCCGAUAGACCAAUUGCUGAUGUGCAAGCCUCGGUAUUAGUAGAAUCCUGGUUAGAAGUGGAUGAUGUAAAGCUAUCAGCUAUGCUAUCAACUCCAGUUGAACAAGCUACAGAUUCAUUCAUGUGCUCCACUCCAAUUUCUGGUCGACCAUUCUCAAUAUUGGCAUACGCUGCUCUCUUUGGAGAACCCCCUUCAGUUAGGCCAGACACCUCAGGAGAUUCUACCGGAAGAGAUUCUGAAGGUGGCUUCAAGCUAUUAUUCUCGUCCUGCUUCCCGGCCUUAGACAAUGCUACUUCAUUUCUAUCCCCAGUUUUAAGUACUGGUUUGCCCGCAUCCUGAUUUCUGGAAUCCAAAGGUUCAGACAAAUCUUCCUUUCCACAAUUUCCAGUAAUAUGACUUCUCAAUUCAGCGGACUCUGACAGAGAUAGACUUUCCCUAGUGUUCACAGCAGUGCUCACUGAGGCAGCAGUAUUGACCUCAACGAGUGUGGUUAGUGGAUACUGGGGAGUCUGAAUUGAAACUGAGGUACAUUUCCCAAGAGCCUUAUCUUGAACAGUCAAUUGUCCCCUAGUUACUUGUUUUUUCUUUUGAUCUUCAGUGGAGUCUGGGCCACCAAGUGUUUCACUAGCUGCAUCUACACUACUAUCUCUAAUUAGAGAUGUUGAAGACUCAAUGGGAGCUUGAGAGGUCAAUGACAAUAUGCCAGCUGCUGAGCUCUUCCCUGAGAUAGAAUCAGCCCCUUUAGUAGAUUGUAUAUUUUCUACAGGCCUUGAAGAAGAUUUUGAGCCAUCGCCAGUCCUUGACUGAGUGGUGGAGCUUUGAUGUGAAGUGUUUGCGUCUUUCUGAGAGUGAGCUGAAUCUCCUCCACAUGGCUUUGAGAGCCUCACUGGAUCUUUUCCAAAAGAAGAACUAACAGAUGGUAACUGCUCUUUUCCUGAAUGUAUUCCUCCAGCAGCCGGUUUCACUGUCACCUGAUUAAAAGGCCUUGGUGGCUGAGAACUCUGAGUGUUACUGAGAGGAAUAGAACUUGGAGCUUGAAAGUAAACAGAAUUGGAAUUAUAAGAGUUGGGAUAAUAGUUAGGAUGACUGGGAGAAUAUGAUGCAAUAGGCUGUGAUUGAGGUGGCAUAUUAGGGUGUGACCUCUCUUCAAGCCUCAAUUCUUCAUGAGUUUCCGGGUGAGUUAUCUUCACACUUUUACGUUGACCUAGGAACUUCCCAGCCUGCUGCGGAGAAAACUGUGAUGGCAUAUUCAUUCCCAUGUUCCCCAAUUGCUGAGGCAGCUGAGCCCCAAUUCCUGAUGAAAAAUUCAAGCCCUGCCCCUGAUGCAUCAUCCCUUGAGACUGCAUUGGGUGGGGUUGAAGAUUUGAGACAAACAUUGGCUGCUGCAUAGGUGGAUUGACAAUUGGCAGAUGCAUCGGCAUUGGUAAUGAUGUAGCAGACAUGGAAUGAGAUGGAAUUUGUGGUCCAGGACCACCAAAUUGAACAGGAACUUGAGGUGGCUGGUGGAAUGGAAUUUGCAUGUGCAUUCCAGGCAUGGGAUGUGUAGAAGGCUUUUGUGUUUGAGUAACAGGAGGUGGAGCUAAAAUGUGUACAUCUCUUUUGGGCUUGUUAGCCACCCCAUAAGCCUCACUAUGAUUGGAUUGGUUGAGGGGUCCUGCAUCCUUUCUUGGCAUAGGCUGCUUGGAAGUGGAUGGAUUUGGCAACGAAGGAAUAGCUCUUGAAGUGUCACCACGAGCCUGGGCUCUCUUCUGCUCAUCCAGAUUUGGUGGAGCUGAGCUUGUUCGCGCAGGUAUCUGAAGAACAUUCAUGACACCGGGACUUAUGGAUCCAAAUUGAAGUGGAAAUGACUUAGAUGCAUCUCCUGGAUUCUUUGCAGGAGUGACAGGUGCAGACGACUCAGAGAUUGGAGGGACGACAUUAGAAGUUGGAGCUCGUGGCACUGCUCGAGUAACCUUUUGAGUCGAAGCAUCAGUUGGCUUAACAGUAGCACUGGGAAGAGGUGUGUGCGCAAUAGCAACAGAAACAUCUGAUACUCCAUGCGAUGGUUGUUGCUGAUGAGCACCAUUCAGAUGAGAAUCAGAGCCAGCACCAACGCCACUUACCCUAGGUUGCCCUCCUUGAGCAUUAUAAUACUUCUUGUUGAAACUUCUAUUAGAAGUCAAAGAUGGAUUGGAGGUUGAAGAAACAGGAGGAGGGGCGGCGCCUCCGCCACCGCCACCACUUCCUCGGCCGCCGCGGUGCUGAUUAAAGCUACCGGAUCGGGCGGUUCUCCUGUACUGAGACGACUCGCGAGUGUCAGCCCUUGAUUGAUUGUGGGACAUAAAUUCAAACCCUAGAGAACAGCUUUGCUGUGUGUUUUUCAAUCUCUAUCCUGACAACAAAGAAAAGUAUCCAAACUAGGGUUUCAAUGACAGUGACGAUUGGUGCAAACCAUUAACACAGUGCAAACGAAAAGUGAGGAAGAGGAAGAGAAGAAGAAGAAUGAGAGGAAAAGGGGAAAAAGGGUAUGUGUGUUGUUGGUAAGGGAAAAAU
RNAcentral lists this unclassified non-coding RNA (5807 nucleotides) under Hevea brasiliensis (rubber tree). The record is from RNAcentral. Lineage: Eukaryota; Viridiplantae; Streptophyta; Magnoliopsida; Malpighiales; Euphorbiaceae.